UGGGGAAUAUUGGACAAUGGGCGAAAGCCUGAUCCAGCCAUGCCGCGUGAGUGAAGAAGGCCUUCGGGUUGUAAAGCUCUUUUAGUCGGAAAGAAAAGAUCAUAAUGAACAAUUAUGAUUCAUGACGGUACCGACAGAAAAAGCACCGGCUAACUACGUGCCAGCAGCCGCGGUAAUACGUAGGGUGCGAGCGUUAAUCGGAAUUACUGGGCGUAAAGGGUGCGCAGGCGGUUUUGCAAGUCAGAUGUGAAAGCCCCGGGCUUAACCUGGGAAUUGCGUUUGAAACUACAAGGCUAGAGUGCAGCAGAGGGGAGUGGAAUUCCAUGUGUAGCAGUGAAAUGCGUAGAGAUGUGGAAGAACACCGAUGGCGAAGGCAGCUCCCUGGGUUGACACUGACGCUCAUGCACGAAAGCGUGGGGAGCAAACA
Molecule: ribosomal RNA, 427 nt
Filed under: uncultured beta proteobacterium
Lineage: Bacteria; Pseudomonadati; Pseudomonadota; Betaproteobacteria
Description: bacterial SSU rRNA
Rfam family: Bacterial small subunit ribosomal RNA
Source: RNAcentral